AUGACAGAUAGAGAGUGAGCACAGAUAGCUUCAAGCAUGGAGUUCAUGCAAGAAAACACCAUGUGUGCUCACUCUCUUCUGUCAC
Molecule: microRNA precursor, 85 nt
Filed under: Olea europaea subsp. europaea
Lineage: Eukaryota; Viridiplantae; Streptophyta; Magnoliopsida; Lamiales; Oleaceae
Source: RNAcentral